UGUAAGUAACUUUCCGCGUAUGAAGUCCUCAGUCGUUUUGUUUUGCUUUAAAGUAAUUCUGUAAGUGUGUAUUGAUGUAGUAGUGUUCACUCGCUCUCCUCUCUGCGGCAGAAUGACAGUCUCUGUUGUGUUUGUUUUGCUCGCGGUGUAUCUGCGCACCUCUCACCUGCUGCUCCUCCAGACACUUCUUCACAUCCACAGACUUUCAGAUCUGCUAGAAAGUUCUCCAGAUUUUCUUUAUUGUGACGCUGCUCUCUUGUGACACACUGGAAUAUGAACCAUCAGCAUCAGCAGCGCAGCAGAAUAAGGGAUGUCGAAAGCAGAGUUCUGGCACAUGUGGACAGACAUUUGCUUUAAUAACAGAAAUCUGGUCAUGGACAG
This is a long non-coding RNA of Sinocyclocheilus anshuiensis, 381 nucleotides long. RefSeq lists it as uncharacterized. The record is from RefSeq and is a predicted model, not a curated record. Lineage: Eukaryota; Metazoa; Chordata; Actinopteri; Cypriniformes; Cyprinidae. The transcript has 3 exons.